This is a long non-coding RNA of Rhinichthys klamathensis goyatoka, 238 nucleotides long. RefSeq lists it as uncharacterized. The transcript has 3 exons. NCBI's taxonomy places the organism in Eukaryota, Metazoa, Chordata, Actinopteri, Cypriniformes, Leuciscidae. The record is from RefSeq and is a predicted model, not a curated record.
CUUUAAUUUCAUGCUGACAGAUGCAGCCAAAAAACAAGGAGCAAAAGUGGUGGAAGCCGAGGAAAAAAUAAAAACCUGGCUGAAGUAUAGUGGAGACCGAAAUGGAGGAAGAAAAAAAAGAGCAACAGAAAAAGAAAAGCAGAUGCCUCCCCCUCAAGCAGAUUCCAGCAGCUGUGAAAGUGAAUUGUAUGCUGCUACUUCUCCUCCUCCGCUCCGUCUUCAUCAUCAGAGCCACACA